RNAcentral lists this ribosomal RNA (198 nucleotides) under uncultured bacterium. RNAcentral's name for it is "partial 16S ribosomal RNA". It matches the Rfam family "Bacterial small subunit ribosomal RNA", at positions 328 to 539 of the family's 1533-position model. The record is from RNAcentral.
ACGCUCGACACCUACGGGAGGCAGCAGUGGGGAAUAUUGCACAAUGGGGGAAACCCUGAUGCAGCGACGCCGCGUGAGCGAAGAAGUAUUUCGGUAUGUAAAGCUCUAUCAGCAGGGAAGAAGAAAGACGGUACCUGACUAAGAAGCCCCGGCUAACUACGUGCCACAGCCGCGGUAAUCUGAGCGGGCUGGCAAGGC